UUGGGCACCUUCACAAAGUGGCCGGCUGACGAGACGGCCCCACAAGUCAGUGGAACAUACUGGCCCACUAUCUCUCCCCCCUCCGAUCUCUCGAGUUCAAAACGCUCGCCGGCGACAAGCUCGCCGGCUAGGGUUUCGUGCCCCUGCAAGGGCGGAGCCCCAUGAGCGCAUCCGGCUUCGGCCGCGACGCCGGCCCCGUCAACCGGGGCCC
This 211-nucleotide long non-coding RNA is filed under the name Oryza brachyantha (malo sina). RNAcentral's name for it is "long non-coding RNA (OBRA_LNC002127)". Lineage: Eukaryota; Viridiplantae; Streptophyta; Magnoliopsida; Poales; Poaceae. The record is from RNAcentral.